Molecule: ribosomal RNA, 464 nt
Filed under: uncultured bacterium
Lineage: Bacteria
Description: partial 16S ribosomal RNA
Rfam family: Bacterial small subunit ribosomal RNA
Source: RNAcentral
ACGAACGCUGGCGGCGUGCUUAACACCUGCAAGUCGAACGGAAAGGCCCCUUUGGGGGUACUCGAGUGGCGAACGGGUGAGUAACACGUGAGUAACCUGCCCUUGACUUCGGGAUAACUUCAGGAAACUGGGGCUAAUACCGGAUAGGAAUCCUUGCUGCAUGGUGGGGGUUGGAAAGCUUCGGCGGUUUUGGAUGGACUCGCGGCUUAUCAGCUUGUUGGUGGGGUAGUGGCUUACCAAGGCUUUGACGGGUAGCCGGCCUGAGAGGGCGACCGGCCACAUUGGGACUGAGAGACGGCCCAGACUCCUACGGGAGGCAGCAGUGGGGAAUAUUGCACAAUGGGCGGAAGCCGGAUGCAGCAACGCCGCGUGCGGGAGGACGGCCUUCGGGUUGGAAACCGCUUUCAGCAGGGGCGAAGCUUGUGGUGACGGUACCUGCAGAAGAAGCACCGGCUAACUACGUG